This 85-nucleotide transfer RNA is filed under the name Candidatus Kaiserbacteria bacterium RIFCSPHIGHO2_01_FULL_56_24. RNAcentral's name for it is "tRNA-Ser". It matches the Rfam family "tRNA". Rfam says of the family: Transfer RNA (tRNA) molecules are approximately 80 nucleotides in length. Their secondary structure includes four short double-helical elements and three loops (D, anti-codon, and T loops). The record is from RNAcentral. Lineage: Bacteria; Candidatus Kaiseribacteriota.
GGAGGCGUCGCUCAGUGGUCUAGAGCACCGCCUUGGAAAGGCGGCAUGCUGAAAGGCAUCGCGAGUUCGAAUCCCGCCGCCUCCG